Molecule: ribosomal RNA, 552 nt
Filed under: uncultured bacterium
Lineage: Bacteria
Description: bacterial SSU rRNA
Rfam family: Bacterial small subunit ribosomal RNA
Source: RNAcentral
UGGGGAAUAUUGGACAAUGGGCGAAAGCCUGAUCCAGCCAUGCCGCGUGUGUGAAGAAGGCCUUUUGGUUGUAAAGCACUUUAAGUGGGGAGGAAAAGCUUAUGGUUAAUACCCAUAAGCCCUGACGUUACCCACAGAAUAAGCACCGGCUAACUCUGUGCCAGCAGCCGCGGUAAUACAGAGGGUGCAAGCGUUAAUCGGAAUUACUGGGCGUAAAGCGCGCGUAGGUGGUUAUUUAAGUCAGAUGUGAAAGCCCCGGGCUUAACCUGGGAACUGCAUCUGAUACUGGAUAACUAAAGUAGGUGAGAGGGGAGUAGAAUUCCAGGUGUAGCGGUGAAAUGCGUAGAGAUCUGGAGGAAUACCGAUGGCGAAGGCAGCUCCCUGGCAUCAUACUGACACUGAGGUGCGAAAGCGUGGGUAGCAAACAGGAUUAGAUACCCUGGUAGUCCACGCCGUAAAACGAUGUCUACCAGUCGUUGGGUCUUUUAAAGACUUAGUGACGCAGUUAACCGCAAUUAAGUAGACCGCCUGGGGAGUACGGCCCGCAAGGUU